CCUACGGGAGGCUGCAGUGGGGAAUAUUGGACAAUGGGGGGAACCCUGAUCCAGCGACGCCGCGUGAGUGAAGAAGUAUUUCGGUAUGUAAAGCUCUAUCAGCAGGGCAGAAAGAAAUGACGGUACCUGACUAAGAAGCCCCGGCUAACUACGUGCCAGCAGCCGCGGUAAUACGUAGGGGGCAAGCGUUAUCCGGCUUUACUGGGUGGAAAGGGAGCGUAGACGGUGAUGCAAGUCUGAAGUGAAAGGCGGGGGCUCAACCCCCGGACUGCUUUGGAAACUGUAUGGCUGGAGUGCAGGAGAGGUAAGUGGAAUUCCUAGUGUAGCGGUGAAAUGCGUAGAUAUGAGGAGGAACACCAGUGGCGAAGGCGGCUUACUGGACUGUAACUGACGUUGAGGCUCGAAAGCGUGGGGAGCAAACAGGAUUAGAUACCCUUGUAGUC
Molecule: ribosomal RNA, 443 nt
Filed under: uncultured bacterium
Lineage: Bacteria
Description: partial 16S ribosomal RNA
Rfam family: Bacterial small subunit ribosomal RNA
Source: RNAcentral